AUUUAAAAGUAGGAAAAUACACUGGGAUAAUUCUGCGGGUAAGCGGUAAAAUUAAUCAAUUCCUGAUUUUUCGGCCGUAAAAGUGAACCUACUUUAUUUAUAAAAAAUAACCAACCAAAUGGUAAUAGGAUGACCUUGACAAUUUCUGCUAAUUUCACUCUCAUAAGUGAUAAUAUUGGUAACAACGAAAUUCCGUCAAUUUAGCAUGUGUGUACAGAUAGCAUACGAGUUGAAUGCAGUCGGGGCCUGAGGUAAAGGGCGGGAGCAUCUCCCCCCGCUUCGUCUCAUGUAGGGCAGUUGUAGUGCUGUGCUGUCGCUAUCGAACGUACGCUUACCGUGUAAUGCGGUUAUACUUGAGGUCUAGCCCUGUUGU
Molecule: long non-coding RNA, 373 nt
Organism: Maniola jurtina (meadow brown)
Lineage: Eukaryota; Metazoa; Arthropoda; Insecta; Lepidoptera; Nymphalidae
Exons: 3
Source: RefSeq, a predicted model, not a curated record